This 20-nucleotide non-coding RNA is filed under the name Rattus norvegicus (Norway rat). Lineage: Eukaryota; Metazoa; Chordata; Mammalia; Rodentia; Muridae. The record is from RNAcentral.
UGCUUUAUAAACCCUGUCCU